Molecule: long non-coding RNA, 482 nt
Organism: Stylophora pistillata
Lineage: Eukaryota; Metazoa; Cnidaria; Anthozoa; Scleractinia; Pocilloporidae
Source: RefSeq, a predicted model, not a curated record
CGCCUACACACUUCCGCUUGUUCCAAGGCGAGUGAUUGUUGGGAUGAAAGAACCUCACAAAUGUAGAUCGAAGGAGAAAAAUCGAGCGGUAUACUUUGAGUAUUUAUAAAAUGGUUGAUGAGCUUUGUAACUCUAGUAGAAAUGCUUGGAGAAGAUAGCCUUAGCAGAUGUGAAGAUAUGUUAUCCAUGCCAACAGAUUUUCUUGCAUUCAAUUGUUCCAGAAUGCUUUGUAUGUACUUUAUGUCAACAGGAGUAAAUGCAAAGUCGUCUAGCUGUUCCAUGUUGCGUAUCAAUGACACACUAGGAUGUGCAUUAAAUUCCAAAUCUUGAACAUUAUGAUUGAUUAUAUCAGUAAAAUAGGAAUUGAAAUUCUCAGCUAUACUCUUUGAGUCAGUUAUAACAUGAUCUUUCUCAAGUAGAAAGAUCUUGUUGUGAGCCUUGCUUCUGGUAUUUGGCAAUAAAGGAUUCAUUCGUUUCCAAAA